GUGUCAGCAGCCUCGGUAAUACGGGGGGGGGCAAGCGUUGUUCGGAAUUACUGGGCGUAAAGGGCGCGUAGGCGGCUCGCUAAGUCGGGUGUGAAAACUCUGGGCUCAACCCAGAGCCUGCAUUCGAAACUGACUGGCUAGAGUUCUGGAGGGGAAAGCGGAAUUCCUGGUGUAGCAGUGAAAUGCGUAGAUAUCAGGAGGAACACCGGUGGCGAAGGCGGCUUUCUGGACAGAAACUGACGCUGAUGCGCGAAAGCUAGGGGAGCAAACAGGAUUAGAAACCCUGGUAGUCC
Molecule: ribosomal RNA, 293 nt
Filed under: uncultured bacterium
Lineage: Bacteria
Description: partial 16S ribosomal RNA
Rfam family: Bacterial small subunit ribosomal RNA
Source: RNAcentral